Long non-coding RNA from Nylanderia fulva, 490 nucleotides. RefSeq lists it as uncharacterized. Lineage: Eukaryota; Metazoa; Arthropoda; Insecta; Hymenoptera; Formicidae. The record is from RefSeq and is a predicted model, not a curated record.
AUAAGAUAUGUUUGUCUUUUACGUUUGUGCAAGAUGUGUCGUUCCAUCUUUCAUAUUGACGUAUCAGCUAUAAAAUUAACGAAGCAGAUCACGACAGAAACCAAAUUAAGAACGAGCCUCGGUUUAAUGGGAUUUUGAGGCGCAGAGACCAGGACAGACUUGCGGGAUGACUGAUGACAUAGUAUAAAUGUUCGCAGAUCCGAGAUUAUAUUAUGAUCAAAAUAUCCCCCUAUAAUAAAAUAUGCAGAAAAUACAGUCACAAUAGAUAGCUAAGAACACAUUUUCGUAAUCCGCAACAAUUUCUCUCUCUCUUCUGGGAGACCCCAUUCGCGAGCUACAACAAUUCGAGCGAUGUAUUUUAAUUAGAAAAUUUGCAUUUUGCCUUUCAAAUGUUCCCGGAUUGUGCAAGACAAACGGACAACGAAACACGUUUCGCAACAAUAAAGUGUCACGUGGAUUUUCACAGUCUUUGGCAUGUACUCAGUAUGCC